AAUAACCAAAUAUAACACUUGGACUAAGAGUCAAGUUGGUAAUUUUUCUUACAUCUCCCCCUCCCGGAGCCCAGGUAUCAUAUACGCCCCCAAAAUAAAGAUCUUUGAAUACUAGAAGAAAUGCACCUAUACCUAGCAAAACUAAGUGAAUACCAAAAAUUGUGGUCAUUUUAUUACUAUCUUUCCA
Gossypium hirsutum (cotton) is the source of this 187-nucleotide non-coding RNA. NCBI's taxonomy places the organism in Eukaryota, Viridiplantae, Streptophyta, Magnoliopsida, Malvales, Malvaceae. The record is from Rfam.